CCCGGGUCUUGUACACACCGCCCGUCACACCAUGGGAGCGGGAUGUACCAGAAGUAGGUAGGCUAACCGCAAGGGGGCCGCUUACCACGGUGCGUUUCGUGACUGGGGUGA
This 111-nucleotide ribosomal RNA is filed under the name uncultured bacterium. RNAcentral's name for it is "partial 16S ribosomal RNA". It matches the Rfam family "Bacterial small subunit ribosomal RNA", at positions 1373 to 1483 of the family's 1533-position model. The record is from RNAcentral.